This 76-nucleotide transfer RNA is filed under the name Limisphaera ngatamarikiensis. RNAcentral describes it as "tRNA-Ala". It matches the Rfam family "tRNA". From Rfam's summary of the family: Transfer RNA (tRNA) molecules are approximately 80 nucleotides in length. Their secondary structure includes four short double-helical elements and three loops (D, anti-codon, and T loops). Lineage: Bacteria; Pseudomonadati; Verrucomicrobiota; Verrucomicrobiia; Limisphaerales; Limisphaeraceae. RNAcentral also lists the same sequence under 8 other names. The record is from RNAcentral.
GGGGUCGUAGCUCAGUUGGUAGAGCACCACAAUGGCAUUGUGGGGGUCAGGGGUUCGAGUCCCCUCGGCUCCACCA